RNAcentral lists this ribosomal RNA (495 nucleotides) under uncultured bacterium. RNAcentral describes it as "partial 16S ribosomal RNA". It matches the Rfam family "Bacterial small subunit ribosomal RNA", at positions 28 to 507 of the family's 1533-position model. The record is from RNAcentral.
GACGAACGCUGGCGGCGUGCCUAAUACAUGCAAGUAGAACGCUGAAGGAGGAGCUUUCUUCUCUGGAUGAGUUGCGAACGGGUGAGUAACGCGUAGGUAACCUGCCUGGUAGCGGGGGGUAACUAUUGGAAACGAUAGCUAAUACCGCAUAAGAGUAGAUGUUGCAUGACAUUUUCUUAAAAGAUGCAAUUUUAUCACUACCAGAUGGACCUGCGUUGUAUUAGCUAGUUGGUGGGGUAACGGCUCACCAAGGCGACGAUACAUAGCCGACCUGAGAGGGGGAUCGGCCACACUGGGACUGAGACACGGCCCAGACUCCUACGGGAGGCAGCAGUAGGGAAUCUUCGGCAAUGGACGGAAGUCUGACCGAGCAACGCCGCGGGAGUGAAGAAGGUUUUCGGAUCGUAAAGCUCUGUUGUAAGAGAAGAACGAGUGUGAGAGUGGAAAGUUCACACUGUGACGGUAUCUGACCAGAAAGGGACGGCUAACUACGUG